UUUUGGGAAAUUUUGCAAAAAAAAUUAAAUUGUUUUAUUUUAAUGCCAAUGGGUUGCAAUGAGUUUCUUUUCACUCUAAUAAUGCUUGAAAUAAAAAAAAGAGUGAAAAAUAACAAAAAAUCUAAAAAUUCUAAAAUUUUGAAAAAUUUCAGAGAACACGAGCUUCCGCCAAUUUCCACCAUGAUAUGCUUGGCGCUAGCAUCGGCGACAGCACGAACUGUCAGUGCUGUCAUCAAUGUCAAGCCAUUUUUCUCCAAGGGACGCGCUGGAUGGUUGUUAGCGUAAUAUUUCUACUGUUUUUCCGAUAACUACAACGUUUGCAGCAUGGAUUAACAAAACCAUGCCAGUGACAAAAACCGGCGGUGCAGGCGAGAGCAAGUGGUACCGGCGUGAACAAUUGUGCCAGCAAGCGCUGGAAAAGAUCGAUCUGAACCAGGAUAAAACGAUGCAGCAUCUGACCUACAGUUAUGGCAAAAAUCAUCAAGCCAAUUUGGCACAUCGUGCCGCGAAACAAGCGAAGGAAGCACCGUGAGUUGUACGACCGGAAAAACCACGCAUCGAGCCGAAAAAGUUCACCAAGAUCGAUCGCCCCGGUUAUCAGGUGACGUAGCAGCACGAUCCGGAGAAUGGCCAACAGUCCUUGUCUUCCAAAGCGACUAUCCGGAAUUUACGGACGGUAUUGUACCGCGGCAUCGCUUUAUGUUCGUUUACGUACCACCAUCGAGAAGAUCGACCACCAAUCAAACAAGAGAAGACGAGCUUCCGCCAAUUUCCACCAUGAAACGCAUGGCGCUAGCAUCGGCGACAGCACGAACUGUCAGUGCUGUCAUCAAUGUCAAGCCAUUUUUCUCCAAGGGACGCGCUGGAUGGUUGUUAGCGUAAUAUUUCUACUGUUUUUCCGAUAACUACAACGUUUGCAUGGAUUACCCAAACCAUGUCGGUGGCAACACCGACGGCGCAGGCGUGAGCAAGUGGUACCGGCGUGAACGAUUGCACCAGCCAGCGCUGGAAAAGAUUGAUCUAAACAAGGAUAAAACGCUGCAGCAUCUGACCCACAGUUAUGGCAAAAAUCAUCAAGCCAAUUUGGCACAACGUGCCGCGAAACAAGCGAAGGAAGCACCGUGAGUUGUACGACCGGAAAAACCACGCAUCGAGCCGAAAAAGUUCACCAAGAUCGAUCGCCCCGGUUAUCAGGUGACGAAGCAGCACGAUCGGGAGAAUGGCCAACAGGCCUUGUCUUCCAAGGCGACUAUCCGGAAAUUACGGACGGUAUUGUACCGCGGCAUCGCUUUAUGUUCGUUUACGAACCACCAUCGAGAAGAUCGACCACCAAUCAAACAAGAGAAUACGAGCUUCCGCCAAUUUCCACCAUGAUUCGCAUGGCGCUAGCAUCGGCGACAGCACGAACUGUCAGUGCUGUCAUCAAUGUCAAGCCAUUUUCUCCAAGGGACGCGGUGGAUGGUUGUUGGCGAAGCAUUUCUACUGUUUUUUCGAUAAUUACAACGUUUGCAGCAUGGAUUACCAAAACCAUGCCAGUGACAAAAAACCGACGGUGCAGGCGAGAGCAAGUGGUACCGGCGUGAACAAUUGCACCAGCUAGCGCCGGAAAGGAUCGAUCUGAACAAGGAUAUCUACUAAGAUCCAACGAGGGCAUCAUCUGUCCCACCCGCGAGGUGAAAAGCAUCAGGUCAAUCUGGCUCAUCGUGCCGUGAAAGAAACAAAGGAAGCACCGUCGUUGAUAUAACUGAGAAAGAAACGAAUCGAUCCGAAAAAGUGUGUUAAGAUCGGUACCGCGGCAUCGGUUUAUUUCCGCUUACGAACAAAAGAUCGCAACUGGUCCGUGCCACUGAAAGAAAAACACAAAACGAUUUUUCCUACAGUUUUCCUUAACGCCGGAAGCGAAGAAAAUUCCGCCCCCGAAUGAGCACCGUAAGCUGAUAUUUAAUCCGGUUCCGCCACCGCCGACAUAUAUAAAGCGAGUGCAGAUUGAUUUAGGUCCGGAUGUGGAUGUAAAACUCAUGUAAAAUCAUAAUUUUCAAUAAUAAAAUGGUUGUAUGUGUGAAAAUUUAUUUAUUGAAAUAAUAA
Anopheles funestus (African malaria mosquito) is the source of this 2085-nucleotide RNA transcript. RefSeq lists it as uncharacterized. The transcript has 6 exons. The record is from RefSeq and is a predicted model, not a curated record. NCBI's taxonomy places the organism in Eukaryota, Metazoa, Arthropoda, Insecta, Diptera, Culicidae.